GUGCCAACCCCUGUGUGGGGGUUUUGCCCCCACACAGGAAGGGGCAAAGGGUGCGAGCCCCUUGCCACGGGUGCAAAUCGGGUUGGAGGGUACAAGGGGGAGCAGGGAGGGUUUUAUUUCCCCUCUCAGGGAGAUACGUGCCUGGGCACAGGGCCCCUUCCUGUUUACUCUUAAAGAUACAGCUGCCUACUGUCUUGUCUCUCCCUGCCAGCUCCUGCAGUCCCUCCCUCUGCAGUGCCACAGCACUGGGGCAAAAUGCUGUAAGCACCCUACAUGCAGCUGGGAGGGAGCAUAUAACCGGGCUCGACAAAUCAGUGAAUCUACUUGCCCGUGGGGGCUGCACUCCCUGCUUGCUAUGCUCCCAACUGGGGGCGGGCCGUGGAUGCAGGCAACCUCAGCAGUUGCCUAGGGUGCUGCGUUAAACGGGGCGCCCAAUGAUGACGUCAUGCCAUUGAGGACUAUGGAGACAAGGAUGAUAGAAUUGAGGAACUACCCCCAGCCUCAUCUGCAUUGAAGAUAGGACAGACAGAUAUCUCCAUUAGAAUACAGAAUGGAGAACAGCACUUCCAAAGCAUGAACCACACUGAACUAUGGGAUACUGAAAGCAGGAAAGCAAUACCUUGUGGGAAAUCUCUGCUCCAGAUGCUAAUGAACUCAUGUCUGCACGUCCCCAAAUCAGUAAUUAUCAGACCCAUUGUAGUAAUAGAUACUCUAUUGAUUUCCAAAAUACUGAAACUGCAUAGUUGCAUUAUUCUCUCUGAAGGCAUGGCACCCAUCACCAUGAAUGAGCUACAAAAGUGUCAAAUACUCCCUGAAUAGAAUAGAAUUCACAUUUUGAUUACCAGAAGAGCCAAAAGCUUGAUCCUGCCAAAAGUCGUCGUAAAUUUUGUCAUCGACUUCAGUGAGAGCAGAAGAAAGUCCAAAAUGUCACAUCUGUUAAACUGUUAUUUUACACUAAAA
Pelodiscus sinensis (Chinese soft-shelled turtle) is the source of this 960-nucleotide long non-coding RNA. RefSeq lists it as uncharacterized. The record is from RefSeq and is a predicted model, not a curated record. NCBI's taxonomy places the organism in Eukaryota, Metazoa, Chordata, Testudines, Trionychidae.